AUACGUAGGGCGCGAGCGUUGUCCGGAAUUACUGGGCGUAAAGGGCGCGUAGGCGGCGCUUCAAGUCGUCUGUCAAAUGGGAGGGCUUAACCCUUUUUCGCAGACGAAACUGGAGAGCUUGAGAAGCAGAGAGGCAAACAGAAUUCCUGGUGUAGCGGUGAAAUGCGUAGAUAUCAGGAAGAAUACCAGUGGCGAAGGCGGUUUGCUGGCUGCAUACUGACGCUGAAGCGCGAAAGCCAGGGGAGCAAACGGGAUUAGAUACCCCGGUAGUCCUGGCAGUAAACGAUGUAUGCUGGGUGUGAGACUAGCGAUAGUUUCGUGCCGAAGUUAACGCGAUAAGCAUACCGCCUGGGGAGUACGGUCGCAAGAUUGAAACUCAAAGGAAUUGACGGGG
Molecule: ribosomal RNA, 394 nt
Filed under: uncultured bacterium
Lineage: Bacteria
Description: partial 16S ribosomal RNA
Rfam family: Bacterial small subunit ribosomal RNA
Source: RNAcentral